AUUGAACGCUGGCGACAUGCCUUACACAUGCAAGUCGAACGGCAGCACAGGUGCUUGCACCUGGUGGCGAGUGGCGAACGGGUGAGUAAUACAUCGGAACAUGUCCUUUAGUGGGGGAUAGCCCGGCGAAAGCCGGAUUAAUACCGCAUACGGUCUACGGAUGAAAGCGGGGGACCUUCGGGCCUCGCGCUAUAGGGUUGGCCGAUGGCUGAUUAGCUAGUUGGUGGGGUAAAGGCCUACCAAGGCGACGAUCAGUAGCUGGUCUGAGAGGACGACCAGUCACACUGGGACUGAGACACGGCCCAGACUCCUACGGGAGGCAGCAGUGGGGAAGUUUGGACAGUGGGCGAAAGCCUGAUCCAGCAAUGCCGCGUGUGUGAAGAAGGCCUUCGGGUUGUAAAGCACUUUUGUCCGGAAAGAAAUCCUUGGCCCUAAUACGGUCGGGGGAUGACGGUACCGGAAGAAUAAGCACCGGCUAACUACGU
This 485-nucleotide ribosomal RNA is filed under the name uncultured bacterium. Its description in RNAcentral is "partial 16S ribosomal RNA". It matches the Rfam family "Bacterial small subunit ribosomal RNA", at positions 30 to 506 of the family's 1533-position model. The record is from RNAcentral.